Molecule: ribosomal RNA, 497 nt
Filed under: uncultured bacterium
Lineage: Bacteria
Description: partial 16S ribosomal RNA
Rfam family: Bacterial small subunit ribosomal RNA
Source: RNAcentral
GAUGAACGCUGGCGGCGUGCCUAAUACAUGCCAGUCGAGCGAACGGACGAGAAGCUUGCUUCUCUGAUGUUAGCGGCGGACGGGUGAGUAACACGUGGAUAACCUACCUAUAAGACUGGGAUAACUUCGGGAAACCGUAGCUAAUACCGGAUAAUAUUUUGAACCGCAUGGUUCAAAAGUGAAAGACGGUCUUGCUGUCACUUAUAGAUGGAUCCGCGCUGCAUUAGCUAGUUGGUAAGGUAACGGCUUACCAAGGCAACGAUGCAUAGCCGACCUGAGAGGGUGAUCGGCCACACUGGAACUGAGACACGGUCCAGACUCCUACGGGAGGCAGCAGUAGGGAAUCUUCAGCAAUGGGCGAAAGCCUGACGGAGCAACGCCGCGUGAGUGAUGAAGGUCUUCGGAUCGUAAAACUCUGUUAUUAGGGAAGAACAUAUGUGUAAGUAACUGUGCACAUCUUGACGGUACCUAAUCAGAAAGCCACGGCUAACUACGUG